Molecule: ribosomal RNA, 414 nt
Filed under: uncultured beta proteobacterium
Lineage: Bacteria; Pseudomonadati; Pseudomonadota; Betaproteobacteria
Description: SSU rRNA
Rfam family: Bacterial small subunit ribosomal RNA
Source: RNAcentral
UAUCUGCCAGCAGCCGCGGUAAUACGUAGGGUGUGAGCGUUAAUCGGAAUUACUGGGCGUAAAGCGUGCGCAGGCGGUUUUGUAAGCCAGAUGUGAAAUCCCCGGGCUUAACCUGGGAAUGGCAUUUGGGACUGCAAGGCUGGAGUUUGGCAGAGGAGACUGGAAUUCCUGGUGUAGCAGUGAAAUGCGUAGAUAUCAGGAGGAACACCGAUGGCGAAGGCAGGUCUCUGGGCUGAAACUGACGCUCAUGCACGAAAGCGUGGGGAGCAAACAGGAUUAGAUACCCUGGUAGUCCACGCCCUAAACGAUGUCGACUGGUUGUUGGGGGUUUGACACUCUCAGUAACGAAGCUAACGCGUGAAGUCGACCGCCUGGGGAGUACGGCCGCAAGGUUAAAACUCAAAGGAAUUGACG